GCAAGUCGAACGGUGAAGCCCAGCUUGCUGGGUGGAUCAGUGGCGAACGGGUGAGUAACACGUGAGCAACCUGCCCCUGACUCUGGGAUAAGCGCUGGAAACGGCGUCUAAUACUGGAUAUGUGACGUGACCGCAUGGUCUGCGUCUGGAAAGAAUUUCGGUUGGGGAUGGGCUCGCGGCCUAUCAGCUUGUUGGUGAGGUAAUGGCUCACCAAGGCGUCGACGGGUAGCCGGCCUGAGAGGGUGACCGGCCACACUGGGACUGAGACACGGCCCAGACUCCUACGGGAGGCAGCAGUGGGGAAUAUUGCACAAUGGGCGCAAGCCUGAUGCAGCAACGCCGCGUGAGGGAUGACGGCCUUCGGGUUGUAAACCUCUUUUAGCAGGGAAGAAGCGAAAGUGACGGUACCUGCAGAAAAAGCGCCGGCUAACUACGUGCCAGCAGCCGCGGUAAUACGUAGGGCGCAAGCGUUAUCCGGAAUUAUUGGGCGUAAAGAGCUCGUAGGCGGUUUGUCGCGUCUGCUGUGAAAUCCGGAGGCUCAACCUCCGGCCUGCAGUGGGUACGGGCAGACUAGAGUGCGGUAGGGGAGAUUGGAAUUCCUGGUGUAGCGGUGGAAUGCGCAGAUAUCAGGAGGAACACCGAUGGCGAAGGCAGAUCUCUGGGCCGUAACUGACGCUGAGGAGCGAAAGGGUGGGGAGCAAACAGGCUUAGAUACCCUGGUAGUCCACCCCGUAAACGUUGGGAACUAGUUGUGGGGUCCAUUCCACGGAUUCCGUGACGCAGCUAACGCAUUAAGUUCCCCGCCUGGGGAGUACGGCCGCAAGGUAA
This 828-nucleotide ribosomal RNA is filed under the name Microbacterium sp. HCA1-11_Pa. Its description in RNAcentral is "bacterial SSU rRNA". It matches the Rfam family "Bacterial small subunit ribosomal RNA", at positions 57 to 896 of the family's 1533-position model. Lineage: Bacteria; Bacillati; Actinomycetota; Actinomycetes; Micrococcales; Microbacteriaceae. The record is from RNAcentral.